GUGAAUUUAGGUCACAAUGUAGUACUAGGUCAUUGCUUGAUCAUCAUCUCAUCCUUUCAAGUAAGCCAAAGCUUCCAAUACUGAGAAAACCAUUAUACUACUAUAAUAGUAACCAAAGUCUAUAAUUUGAGUUCAUUGGUUGAUCAUCAUCUUCUCUAGACUCUAGUAAAGCCAGUGCUACUAAUUAUGGAAACCCAUCAACUCAUUUUUCAGAUAACCAUGGUCAUCAUAACCUCUAAUCAUGAGACCUAAAAGACCCAAAUUUGAGCUUUAAGAACUACUGCCACUCAACAUUCUCUCUCUUUUUUCUUUUUUUUCUUUCUUUGAUGGUAUUUCAGAAUUCAGACAAAGUCACCAACUCUCUAGCUAUCACUGAUGACUGACAGUAAAAAGUGAAAAAAAAGAAAGAAAAGAAAAACACUAAUGGAUACACAGUAAACAAAGAGAAUCAAAUAAUUUCAUUUACUUUAUAGAUAGACUAAAGUGAGUGAGUGAAUGAGUAUACAAUGGUAGAGUAGAAGAGAACAAAAUGAGUGGAGUAGACUUAGUAGAGUAUUAUUUAGAGAGAUUGGGUUUUGCCUUUGCCCUUUGCCCUUUGCACUUUGCCUUUGCCUUAUUACUCACUUGAUUGAGAGACAUAGUUUCCUGUCGGCAGAGGUUAGUAAUGCUGACUGCUCAACUACUAGUGGGGUGAGGUAUGUUCUGCUGAUUACACAUUCUCUCUUUUUAUUUUUAGCUCUUUUUUUUUUGAAGAAGGGUUAAAGCUUUUUCACUUGUUGUUGUUAUUGUUGUUGUUGUGUUGUAUCAAGUUAAUUAUCAACUAUCAAAUGCUUCUUCACUCACUUACUCACUCCACUCCACUCAUAGUUCUUCUGUUAAUAUAAAUAAAAAGAAGCAAAGAAGAAAUAUAUAUAUAUAUAUAUAAUGAUUAGUAUAGGACGACAUUCUCUUUUCUUCCCUCCUUCAACGCUCCCACCAACUUAUAUAUAUAUAUAUGAGUGUUAGUUUAUUUUCUUUCAAUUUCAAAACUCUCAUGAGACACAGAAAGAGACACAGAGAAUCCUAUAAUCUGGAUUUUAUAGUUUUUUUUUCUUGUAAUUAUAUAUUUUUGGUGACAUCAGGUUGAAAUUUUGAAAUUGAAAAAGGUUCAUUAUAUUUAACAAAAGCUUUUUUACUCAAAAAGAAAAGAAAAGGUCAUCAAUGGACAUACAGUAGUAUAGUACUAUACAGCAUAAUAACCCCACAAAUUAAAAUUUACAUAUAAUUAGCAAAUUAUGUUAACUAAUUUGUUAACUUUUUUGCUUUGCAGUAGUGUUAUCUUUUGCGUGAUUGGUGGUGUGAUGAUCAAUUUACAAGUUAAUAGAAAGGUAACCAGGCUAGAAACAGAAUUGGGGAAAGAAAGACUAAUAAGACCUAGCUAGUAGCUAAGAUAAACAAGUUUAACUUUAACCCAAAGUUUGUACUAUUAUAUAUUGAUUAGUAUUUAGAAAAUGUGUUUACAAGCUGUGAAAUGUUGAACAAAUUUUCCAUGUUAAUGUUCUUUGGAGAAAAGGUUUUAUUAUGUAUGGUAAUGGUACAGUACAUUUUUUUUUCCUUUGGACCUGUAACGCUGUAACAGUCUGCAAGGUUCAUAAUAGCAUGUCUCACUGUUUUUUUUUUUUU
This 1662-nucleotide long non-coding RNA is filed under the name Aquilegia coerulea. RNAcentral's name for it is "long non-coding RNA (ACOE_LNC001111)". Lineage: Eukaryota; Viridiplantae; Streptophyta; Magnoliopsida; Ranunculales; Ranunculaceae. The record is from RNAcentral.